This 469-nucleotide ribosomal RNA is filed under the name uncultured bacterium. RNAcentral describes it as "partial 16S ribosomal RNA". It matches the Rfam family "Bacterial small subunit ribosomal RNA", at positions 28 to 507 of the family's 1533-position model. The record is from RNAcentral.
GACGAACGCUGGCGGCGUGCUUAACACAUGCAAGUCGAACGGAAAGGCCCUGCUUGCAGGGUGCUCGAGUGGCGAACGGGUGAGUAACACGUGGGUGAUCUGCCCCUUACUUUGGGAUAAGCCUGGGAAACUGGGUCUAAUACUGGAUAGGACCAUGCUGUAGGUGGUGUGGUGGAAAGAUUAGUUUCGGUAAGGGAUGAGCUCGCGGCCUAUCAGCUUGUUGGUGGGGUAAUGGCCUACCAAGGCGUCGACGGGUAGCCGGCCUGAGGGGGUGGACGGCCACAUUGGGACUGAGAUACGGCCCAGACUCCUACGGGAGGCAGCAGUGGGGAAUAUUGCACAAUGGGCGCAAGCCUGAUGCAGCGACGCCGCGUGGGGGAUGACGGCCUUCGGGUUGUAAACUCCUUUCAGCCAUGACGAAGCCCUUGUGGUGACGGUAGUGGUAGAAGAAGCACCGGCUAACUACGUG